CUCAGGGAGGUAGUGACAAGAAAUAACAACACUGGAAAUUUUAUUUCUAGUGAUUGGAAUGAUGGGAAUUUAAACCCCUUUCAGAGUAACAAUUGGAGGGCAAGUCUGGUGCCAGCAGCCGCGGUAAUUCCAGCUCCAAUAGCGUAUAUUAAAGUUGUUGCAGUUAAAAAGCUCGUAGUUGGAUGUCUGCUGGAAGCAAUCAGUCCGCCCUAUUUGUAGGGUGUGCACUUGAUGAAUUCUGGCAUCUAUGUCCUAAUGUGAUAGAUACGGCGGUGUAUAUGGGUUAAUCCUAUAUACCCGUUUGUAUAUUAUAUUGGGAUAAUACCGUUACUUUGAGAAAAUUAGAGUGUUUGAAGCAGGCUAAUUGCCUUGAAUACUGCAGCAUGGAAUAACAAUAUAGGAUUUCGGUUCUAUUUUGUUGGUUUCUAGGACUGAAAUAAUGAUUAAUAGGGACAGUUGGGGGCAUUCGUAUUUAACUGUCAGAGGUGAAAUUCUUAGAUUUGUUAAAGACGAACUACUGCGAAAGCAUUUGCCAAAGAUGUUUUCAUUAAUCAAGAACAAAAGUUAGGGGCUCGAAGACGAUCAGAUACCGUCGUAGUCUUAACCAUAAACUAUGCCGACUAGAGAUAGGAAAAUGUCAUUUUUCUGACUU
Molecule: ribosomal RNA, 652 nt
Filed under: Sarcocystis hjorti
Lineage: Eukaryota; Apicomplexa; Conoidasida; Eucoccidiorida; Sarcocystidae
Description: SSU rRNA
Rfam family: Eukaryotic small subunit ribosomal RNA
Source: RNAcentral